This 435-nucleotide ribosomal RNA is filed under the name uncultured archaeon. RNAcentral describes it as "bacterial SSU rRNA". It matches the Rfam family "Archaeal small subunit ribosomal RNA", at positions 412 to 847 of the family's 1478-position model. The record is from RNAcentral.
CUUGACUCUAAAUAGGUCUUGGAAUAAGGGGUGGGUAAGGACGGUGCCAGCCGCCGCGGUAAUACCGGCGCCUCAAGUGGUAGUCGCUUUUAUUGGGCCUAAAACGUCCGUAGCCGGUCUGAUACAUUCGUGGGUAAAUCAACCAGCUCAACUGGUUGAAUUCUGCGAGGACGGUCAAACUUGGGACCGGGAGAGGUGUGGGGUACGCUCAGGGUAGGGGUAAAAUCCUGUCAUCCUGAGCGGACCACCUGUUGCGAAGGCGCCACACUAGAACGGAUCCGACGGUCAGGGACGAAGCCUAGGGGCACGAACCGGAUUAAAUACCCGGGUAGUCCUAGGUGUAAACGCUGUGGACUUGAUGUUGGGGGUGCUCCGAGCACUCUCAGUGUCGAAGCGAAGGUGAUAAGUCCACUGCCUGGGAAGUACGGUCGCAAG